This 440-nucleotide ribosomal RNA is filed under the name uncultured bacterium. RNAcentral describes it as "partial 16S ribosomal RNA". It matches the Rfam family "Bacterial small subunit ribosomal RNA", at positions 338 to 795 of the family's 1533-position model. The record is from RNAcentral.
CCUACGGGUGGCAGCAGUGGGGAAUAUUGCACAAUGGGGGAAACCCUGAUCCAGCGAAGCCGCGUGAAGGAAGACGUAUUUAGGUAUGGAAACUUCUUUUAGCAGGGAAGAAAAGGACGGUACCUGACUAAGAAGCCCCGGCUAACUAGUUGCCAGCAGCCGCGGUACUACGGAGGGUGCAGGGGUUAUCCGGAUUUACUGGGUGUAAAGGGAGGGUAGGCGGUUGAGCAAGUCAGAAGUGAAAGCCCGAGGCUCAACUUCGGGACUGCUUUUGAAACUGUGUAACUAGAUUGCAGGAGAGGUAAGUGGAAUUCCUAGUGUAGCGGUGAAAUGCGUAGAUAUUAGGAGGAACACCAGUGGCGAAGGCGGCUUACUGGACUGUAAAUGACGCUGAGGCUCGAAAGCGUGGGGAGCAAACAGGAUUAGAUACCCGUGUAGUC